Molecule: ribosomal RNA, 253 nt
Filed under: uncultured bacterium
Lineage: Bacteria
Description: partial 16S ribosomal RNA
Rfam family: Bacterial small subunit ribosomal RNA
Source: RNAcentral
UACGUAGGCAGCAAGCGUCGUUCGGAGUUACUGGGCGUAAAGGGUGCGUAGGCGGCUUUUUAAGUCUGGUGUGAAAUCUCCCGGCUCAACUGGGAGGGUGCGCCGGAUACUGAGGGGCUAGAGUGUGGGAGAGGAAAGUGGAAUUCCUGGUGUAGCGGUGAAAUGCGUAGAUAUCAGGAGGAACACCGGUGGUGUAAACGGCUUUCUGGACCAUAACUGACGCUGAGGCACGAAAGCGUGGGUAGCAAACAGG